This is a long non-coding RNA of Mandrillus leucophaeus (drill), 1173 nucleotides long. RefSeq lists it as uncharacterized. NCBI's taxonomy places the organism in Eukaryota, Metazoa, Chordata, Mammalia, Primates, Cercopithecidae. The record is from RefSeq and is a predicted model, not a curated record. The transcript is spliced from 5 exons.
GUCAUCAAUGUUCUGAAAAUGGCAGUAAUUUUUAUUCAACCUGUAUAAGCCACUUUCACCAUGCACCUGGAAGCAACAUCCACAUCUUUUUCAGUUUUCCUCUGUCCACUAUGAAGGACUCUGACCACAUUCUGACUCUGAUGAUCCUGCCCAGAAUUGACCUGAACCCCAAUAAUUCACCUUUCUCUCAGCAAUCUAGAUGCUGGGGACACAAGGUCCACCUUCUAGGAAUAUAGCCAUGACACCAGAAAUCACAAAGGUGAUGAGAGUGACUGGGGAAGAAGUGCAAGAUGCUUCACUUGUAAAUGAAGACACAGCCUCCCAGGAUUCAGAUACCACUUGUCCGAAGAAGCUGAAGAUCUACAGAUAGGUGGAGUUUACCAAUGACGAGGAGCGGGAUGGAGAAAGGAGAUAGGGAGAGUCAUCCAAGGUACAUGAGCAGCAUGUUCAAAGCCAAGUGGUUUAAUUUCUGGAGAUGGUGAACACGAGAGGCUCUGCUGGGAGACAACAAAAAUAAUGAAGAGUUGAACCAGAGUCCGGUGAAUAUCAGCACUGGGACCAGUUAGCAGAGGAAAAGGGAAAAGAAUGAAGAGCCAUAUGAUUACCAACUUUUCCUUUUUCAUGUAAAUGAAGUGUAUAUGGGUCUGGAACAACCUGAAUUUCCAUGAAGUCCUGGCUAACCUCAUUACGUCCUAUGAAUAUUUUUGACUAAUUCCACUUUACAUUAAUCUGUAUUGUGAAUGUGGAUAUUGAACUAUAUUUAUUUGUAAUCCCAUUAUCCAAAAUCCAGUUCAGAGACUAUUAGUUACCAAUGUUCACUGUGAAGAAAAAAGAAAAAAAAGCUCAGAGGAUAAACAUGUGAUAUGGUUUGGCUGUGUCCCCACUCAAAUAUCAUCUUGAAUUGUAGUUCCCAUAAUUCCCAUGUGUUGUGGGAGGGACCUGGAGGGAGAUAAUUGAAUCAUGGGGGUGGUUUCCCCCAUACUAUUCUCAUGGUAGUGAAUAAGUCUCACAAGAUCUGACGGUUUUAUGAGGGGAAACCCCUUUCACUUGGCUCUCAUUCUCUCCUCUGGUCUGUCGUCAUGUGAGACGUGCCUUUCACCUUCUCCACCAUGAUUGUGAGGCCUCCUCAGCCACAUGGAACUGUUAGCCCAUUAAACUUCUUUCACUUAUAAA